UACGGGGGAUGCAAGCGUUAUCCGGAUUUACUGGGUGUAAAGGGAGCGUAGACGGCGUCGCAAGUCUGAAGUGAAAGCCCGUGGCUCAACCGCGGAACCGCUUUGGAAACUGCGUGGCUGGAGUGCUGGAGAGGUAAGCGGAAUGCGCGGUGUAGCGGUGAAAUGCAUAGAUAUCGCGCAGAACUCCGAUUGCGAAGGCAGCAUGCCGGCUCCACACUGACGCUGAGGCACGAAGGCCAGGGGAGCGAAAGGG
Molecule: ribosomal RNA, 253 nt
Filed under: uncultured bacterium
Lineage: Bacteria
Description: partial 16S ribosomal RNA
Rfam family: Bacterial small subunit ribosomal RNA
Source: RNAcentral